CGGCGCUCAUGUCCUGGAGUUCUUGAGGUAUCUUGACCAGUUUGGCAAGACAAAGGUGCAUAACCAGACUUGUCCAUUUUUUGGUCACCAGCACCCACCAGCUCCUUGCCCUUGUCCACUUAAGCAGGCGUGGGGAAGCCUCGACGCGCUGAUCGGACGCCUCCGAGCAGCCUUCGAGGAAAACGGCGGCCUGCCUGAGACCAACCCUUUUGGUGCACGCGCUGUCAGACUAUACCUUAGGGAAGUGAGAGAUGAACAAGCUAAGGCGAGAGGGAUAGCUUACGAGAAGAAGAAGAGAAAGAAGCCACAACAACACAAGCAGCAGCAACAGUUACAAUCUUCAAAUGGUCACAAUAAUCAAAUUCAACAUGGUGGUGGUGGUGGUGGCCGCGGCGGUGUUAGUGGUGGAUUUGCUGAAAGAAACAUGCUAAGUAGGGCGAUGGUUAAUAUGGGGGAUUUGUCGGUAUUUAAUUAAGGGGAUGUUGAUGUGUUUGGUGUUAUGCUAGGGUUUAUGUUUUGUAGUCUUUGAUUGUAUUUCUGCUUCUUUCUAAUUGCUUUUGUUUAUAUGAGUAAUUAAAGAGAAAAUCUUUUUCUUCCUUUUUAAAAAAAAAAAA
RNAcentral lists this unclassified non-coding RNA (614 nucleotides) under Hevea brasiliensis (rubber tree). Lineage: Eukaryota; Viridiplantae; Streptophyta; Magnoliopsida; Malpighiales; Euphorbiaceae. The record is from RNAcentral.